GACGAACGCUGGCGGCGUGCUUAACACAUGCAAGUCGAACGGAAAGGCCCUGCUUUUGUGGGGUGCUCGAUUGGCGAACGGGUGAGUAACACGUGAGUAUCCUGCCCUUGACUUUGGGAUAACUUCAGGAAACUGGGGCUAAUACCGGAUAGGAGCUCCUGCUCCAUAGUGGGGGUUGGAAAGUUUCGGCGGUUGGGGAUGGACUCGCGGCCUAUCAGCUUGUUGGUGGGGUAGUGGCUUACCAAGGCUUUGACGGGUAGGCGGCCUGAGAGGGUUACCGGCCACAUUGGGACUGAGAUACGGCCCAGACUGGAACGGGACGCAGCGGUGGGGAAUAUUGCAGAAUGGGCGGAAGCCAGAUGCAGCAAAGCCGCGUGCGGGAUGACGGGCUUCGGGUUGUAAACCGAUUUCGCCUGUGACGAGGCGAGAGUGACGGUAAUGGGUAAAGAAGCACCGGCUAACUACGUG
RNAcentral lists this ribosomal RNA (468 nucleotides) under uncultured bacterium. Its description in RNAcentral is "partial 16S ribosomal RNA". It matches the Rfam family "Bacterial small subunit ribosomal RNA", at positions 28 to 507 of the family's 1533-position model. The record is from RNAcentral.